This 441-nucleotide ribosomal RNA is filed under the name uncultured bacterium. RNAcentral's name for it is "partial 16S ribosomal RNA". It matches the Rfam family "Bacterial small subunit ribosomal RNA", at positions 339 to 795 of the family's 1533-position model. The record is from RNAcentral.
CUACGGGGGGCUGCAGUGGGGAAUAUUGCACAAUGGGCGCAAGCCUGAUGCAGCAACGCCGCGUGAACGAUGAAGGCCUUCGGGUUGUAAAGUUCUUUUCUUAGGGAAGAAUAAAUGACGGUACCUAAGGAAUCAGCCCCGGCUAACUACGUGCCAGACAGCCGCGGUAAUACGUAGGGGGCAAGCGUUAUCCGGAAUCACUGGGCGUAAAGGGAGUGUAGGCGGUCAAGCAAGUCAGGGGUGAAAGGCAUCGGCUCAACCGAUGUAAGCCUUUGAAACUGUUUGACUUGAGUGCAGGAGAGGUAAGUGGAAUUCCUAGUGUAGCGGUGAAAUGCGUAGAUAUUAGGAGGAACACCAGUGGCGAAGGCGACUUACUGGACUGUAACUGACGCUGAGGCUCGAAAGCGUGGGGAGCGAACAGGAUUAGAUACCCGUGUAGUC